GUAUAAAACAAAACGGCCUGAAUACAACCGAUCUGUCAGGUCUCCGAAGCUGAGCGAGGUUGGGCCUGGUUAUUGCUUGAAUGGGAGGCCGCUUAGGAUUAUCGGGUGUUGUAGGCU
This 117-nucleotide ribosomal RNA is filed under the name Petromyzon marinus (sea lamprey). The record is from RNAcentral. Lineage: Eukaryota; Metazoa; Chordata; Hyperoartia; Petromyzontiformes; Petromyzontidae.